This 210-nucleotide long non-coding RNA is filed under the name Gossypium barbadense (sea-island cotton). RNAcentral describes it as "long non-coding RNA (GBAR_LNC010692)". Lineage: Eukaryota; Viridiplantae; Streptophyta; Magnoliopsida; Malvales; Malvaceae. The record is from RNAcentral.
GGAGAGUUUAGAGAGUUCAACUAUGAUUAAACUUAAUCACAUUAAUAUUAAAUUAAGGGUUAAAUAUAAAAUUAGUACCUGAACUUGUCCAUUUCUCCUACAAUGGUACCUGAACUUUUUUUCUGUCCACAGGUUUGGUACCUGAGCCUAACAUCGUUUAAUUUUUGCUAACGUAGCAGCGCUGGCCAAUCACGCAGAAUCACGUGUCGC